ACUCAUCUUUUGUCCACUUACAUUCCAUUUUUUUGUUAUAAUAAAAAUUAUUAAAAAACAAAAGGGAAUGUAAGUGGACAAAAAGAGU
Molecule: microRNA precursor, 88 nt
Filed under: Prunus dulcis (almond)
Lineage: Eukaryota; Viridiplantae; Streptophyta; Magnoliopsida; Rosales; Rosaceae
Description: sRNA ncRNA
Source: RNAcentral